This 497-nucleotide ribosomal RNA is filed under the name uncultured bacterium. Its description in RNAcentral is "partial 16S ribosomal RNA". It matches the Rfam family "Bacterial small subunit ribosomal RNA", at positions 28 to 507 of the family's 1533-position model. The record is from RNAcentral.
GAUGAACGCUGGCGGCGUGCCUAACACAUGCAAGUCGAGCGAACGGACGAGAAGCUCGCUUCUCUGCUGUUAGCGGCGGACGGGUGAGUAACACGUGGAUAACCUACCUAUAAGACUGGGAUAACUUCGGGAAACCGGAGCCAAUACCGGAUGAUAUUUUGAACGGCAUGGAUCAAAAGUGAUAGAGGGUCUUGCUGUCACUAAUAGAUGGUUCCGCGUUGCAUUAGCUAGUUGGUAAGGUAACGGCUUACCAAGGCAACGAUGCAUAGCCGACCUGAGAGGAUGAUCAGCCACACUGGAACUGAGACACGGUCCAGACUCCUACGGGAGGCAGCAGUAGGGAAUCUUCCACAAUGGGCGAAAGCCUGAUCGAGCAACGCCGCGUGAGUGAUGAAGGUCUUCGGAUCGUAAAACUCUGUUAUUAGGGAAGAACAGAUGUGUGUGUAUCUGUGCACGUCUUGACGGUACCUAAUGAGAAAGCAACGGCUAACUACGUG